CGACCACAUUACGUUGAAACACCGGCUCCCCUUCGGUCUCCGAAGUUAAACAAUAUCGAGCCUGGUCAGUACCUAGAUAGUUAACUUUUUGGGAAUAUGAGGC
Non-coding RNA from Acanthosepion pharaonis, 103 nucleotides. The record is from the annotation of a GenBank genome assembly. Lineage: Eukaryota; Metazoa; Mollusca; Cephalopoda; Sepiida; Sepiidae.